AUACGGAGGGUGCAAGCGUUAAUCGGAAUUACUGGGCGUAAAGAGUACGUAGGUGGUUUGUUAAGUCAGUUGUGAAAGCCCCGGGCUCAACCUGGGAACUGCAUUUGAAACUGGCAAACUAGAGUAUGGUAGAGGGGGGUAGAAUUUCUAGUGUAGCGGUGAAAUGCGUAGAUAUUAGAAGGAAUACCAGUGGCGAAGGCGGCCCCCUGGACCAAUACUGACACUGAGGUACGAAAGCGUGGGUAGCGAACAGGAUUAGAAACCCUUGUAGUCC
This 274-nucleotide ribosomal RNA is filed under the name uncultured bacterium. Its description in RNAcentral is "partial 16S ribosomal RNA". It matches the Rfam family "Bacterial small subunit ribosomal RNA", at positions 523 to 796 of the family's 1533-position model. The record is from RNAcentral.